CCUACGGGAGGCUGCAGUGGGGAAUAUUGGACAAUGGGGGGAACCCUGAUCCAGCCAUGCCGCGUGUGUGAAGAAGGCCCUCGGGUUGUAAAGCACUUUCAGUGAGGAAGAACGCCUGGUGGUUAAUACCCAUCAGGAAAGACAUCACUCACAGAAGAAGCACCGGCUAACUCCGUGCCAGCAGCCGCGGUAAUACGGAGGGUGCGAGCGUUAAUCGGAAUUACUGGGCGUAAAGCGCGCGUAGGUGGCUUGAUAAGCCGGUUGUGAAAGCCCCGGGCUCAACCUGGGAACGGCAUCCGGAACUGUCAAGCUAGAGUGCAGGAGAGGAAGGUAGAAUUCCCGGUGUAGCGGUGAAAUGCGUAGAGAUCGGGAGGAAUACCAGUGGCGAAGGCGGCCUUCUGGACUGACACUGACACUGAGGUGCGAAAGCGUGGGUAGCAAACAGGAUUAGAUAUCCUAGUAGUC
RNAcentral lists this ribosomal RNA (465 nucleotides) under Vreelandella stevensii. RNAcentral describes it as "partial 16S ribosomal RNA". It matches the Rfam family "Bacterial small subunit ribosomal RNA", at positions 338 to 795 of the family's 1533-position model. The record is from RNAcentral. Lineage: Bacteria; Pseudomonadati; Pseudomonadota; Gammaproteobacteria; Oceanospirillales; Halomonadaceae.